This 1001-nucleotide long non-coding RNA is filed under the name Bos grunniens (domestic yak). RNAcentral's name for it is "lncRNA (ENSBGRG00000015585.1)". Lineage: Eukaryota; Metazoa; Chordata; Mammalia; Artiodactyla; Bovidae. The record is from RNAcentral.
GGCCAGCUUCUUGACUCCAGGCUUGGACGGCGAGGCGGAAGUUAGCGUCGGACAUCCUCGCUGCUCCGCCUUCACGUCUGCCUUCCCCGCUUCUCCGCGCUCGGCCAGCGCCGAGAUCCUAGCCGCUGGCUUACGCACCCUGGGAGGUGACUCAAUAGGAAAUGGAAGUGUAGGAAUGCGAAGUCCAGAACUCCCUUCGUUUUGGUGUUCAUCGCUGCCCUACUUCAAAACGAAAAGGUUUUUCUUUGUUGUAUUACGGGGACAACAGAGGAUGAGAUAGUUGGAUGGCAUCACCGACAUGAUGGACAUGACUUUGAGUAGGCUCCAGGAGUUGGUGAUGGACAGGGAAGCCUGGCAUGCUGCCACGGGGUCCAUGGGGUCGCAAAGAGCUGGACACGACUGAGCGACUGAAAUGAACUGAACUGAUUAUAUACCAUUUAUCAUUCUCCAGUUGAUGGGCAUUUGGAUUGUUUCUAGUUUUUUUUUUUUUUUGCUAUUAUGAAUGCUAUAAACAUUCUCUAUAUUCCCUGGUCUAUCUAACCAAGAGAUUUUCAAGACUAUACCUACAAGUAAAACUGCUGGGUUCAAAGGCAUGUGUGUUGUCAAUUUUAACUUGAUAAUAUCAAAUUGUAAUUCCAUUUAAUGUUCAAACUUUUCUUGUUACUCUGCAUCAUCACUAGCACUUAAUUUUGUUGGACUUCUUAAUUUUUGCCAAGCUAAUGAAAGUACAAUGAUGUAUCAUUUUGCUUUAAUUUACAUAUUCCUGAUUACUAAUAAAGUUGAAUAUCUUUCAAGUGUUUGUUAACCAUUUAUAUUUACUCUUUUCUGAAAUGCCAAGUCAUGACUCUGCAACAUUCUCUACUAUGGAGUUAUUAUUAUUAUUAUUUUGUAUACUUUCAAACUCUUCAUUUUUCACUUCAGUAAAAUGAAACCAGAAGAGGAUACCUUGCAUAAGAAAGGUCCUGUUGCUAGUUAGUAGCAGAAUUAAAAUUCAUAGUAAC